GUGGAUUAGAUACCCUGGUAGUCCACACCCUAAACGAUGAAUACUAGAUGUUGGCCCUUUCGGGGGUCAGUAUCACAGCUAACGCAUUAAGUAUUCCACCUGGGAAGUACGAUCGCAAGGUUGAAACUCAAAGGAAUUGACGGGGGCCCGCACAAGCAGUGGAGCAUGUGGUUUAAUUCGAUGCAACGCGAAGAACCUUACCUAGGCUUGAAAAGCAAGCUAAAGCAGAUGAAAGUCUGUGUGCCGCAAGGCGAGCUUGUACAGGUGCUGCACGGCUGUCGUCAACU
Molecule: ribosomal RNA, 287 nt
Filed under: uncultured bacterium
Lineage: Bacteria
Description: partial 16S ribosomal RNA
Rfam family: Bacterial small subunit ribosomal RNA
Source: RNAcentral